This 437-nucleotide ribosomal RNA is filed under the name uncultured bacterium. RNAcentral describes it as "bacterial SSU rRNA". It matches the Rfam family "Bacterial small subunit ribosomal RNA", at positions 383 to 810 of the family's 1533-position model. The record is from RNAcentral.
GUGACGAAGCGACGCCGCGUGUGGGAAGAAGGCCUUCGGGUUGUAAACCACUGUCAGGAGUUAAGAAAUGUAAGGGUGCUAAUAGUAUCCUUACUUGACUAAGGCUCCAGAGGAAGCCACGGCUAACUCUGUGCCAGCAGCCGCGGUAAUACAGAGGUGGCAAGCGCUGUUCGGAAUUAUUGGGCGUAAAGAGCACGUAGGCGGUUCUGCAAGUCGGCUGUGAAAGCCUUCCGCUCAACGGAAGAACAGCAGUGGAUACUACAGGACUAGAGUGCGGGAGGGGAGAGUGGAACUUCUGGUGGAGCGGUGAAAUGCGUAGAUAUCAGAAGGAACGCCGGCGGCGAAAGCGACUCUCUGGCCCGUAACUGACGCUGAGUGUGCGAAAGCUAGGGGAGCAAACGGGAUUAGAUACCCCGGUAGUCCUAGCCGUAAACGAU